UUCUGCCAAGGGCAUCGCUGGGUAGCUAUGUAUGGAUGAGAUAAACGCUGAAAGCAUCUAAGUGUGAAGCUCACCUCGAGAUUAGAUUUCCCAUUCCUUUAUGGAAGUAAGACCCCUGAAAGAUUAUCAGGUAGAUAGGUUGGAAGUGGAAGUACAGUGAUGUAUGGAGCGGACCAAUACUAAUCGGUCGAGGACUUAACCAC
RNAcentral lists this ribosomal RNA (203 nucleotides) under Dellaglioa carnosa. RNAcentral's name for it is "partial 23S ribosomal RNA". It matches the Rfam family "Bacterial large subunit ribosomal RNA", at positions 2724 to 2925 of the family's 2925-position model. Lineage: Bacteria; Bacillati; Bacillota; Bacilli; Lactobacillales; Lactobacillaceae. The record is from RNAcentral.